This 442-nucleotide ribosomal RNA is filed under the name uncultured bacterium. RNAcentral describes it as "partial 16S ribosomal RNA". It matches the Rfam family "Bacterial small subunit ribosomal RNA", at positions 355 to 810 of the family's 1533-position model. The record is from RNAcentral.
UGGGGAAUAUUGCGCAAUGGGCGGAAGCCUGACGCAGCAACGCCGCGUGCGGGAUGACGGCCUUCGGGUUGUAAACCGCUUUCAGCAGGGACGAAGCGUGAGUGACGGUACCUGCAGAAGAAGCACCGGCCAACUACGUGCCAGCAGCCGCGGUGAUACGUAGGGUGCGAGCGUUGUCCGGAAUUAUUGGGCGUAAAGAGCUCGUAGGUGGUUGAUCGCGUCGAAAGUGAAAUCUCAGGGCUUAACCCUGAGCGUGCUUUCGAUACGGGUCGACUAGAGGAAGGUAGGGGAGAAUGGAAUUCCUGGUGGAGCGGUGGAAUGCGCAGAUAUCAGGAGGAACACCAGUGGCGAAGGCGGUUCUCUGACCUUUCCUGACGCUGAGGAGCGAAAGCGUGGGGAGCAAACAGGCUUAGAUACCCUGGUAGUCCACGCCGUAAACGGU